AGAAUCAACGCUGGCGGCGUGCCUAACACAUGCAAGUCGCACGAGAAAGGGGAGCAAUCCCUGAGUAAAGUGGCGCACGGGUGAGUAACACGUGAAUAAUCUACCUCCGAGUGGGGAAUAACUGAGAGAAAUCUUAGCUAAUACCGCAUAACACUUACGAGUCAAAGCAGCAAUGCGCUUGGAGAGGAGUUCGCGGCCGAUUAGUUAGUUGGCGGGUAAUGGCCCACAAGACGAUGAUCGGUA
RNAcentral lists this ribosomal RNA (243 nucleotides) under uncultured bacterium. Its description in RNAcentral is "partial small subunit ribosomal RNA". It matches the Rfam family "Bacterial small subunit ribosomal RNA", at positions 26 to 285 of the family's 1533-position model. The record is from RNAcentral.